GAUGAACGCUGGCGGCGUGCUUAACACAUGCAAGUCGAACGAUAAAGCCCAGCUUGCUGGGUGCAUUAGUGGCGAACGGGUGAGUAACACGUGAGUAAUCUGCCCUGCACUCUAGGAUAAGCCUGGGAAACUGGGUCUAAUACUGGAUAGGAACGUCUACCGCAUGGUGGGUGUUGGAGAGUUUUUGGUGCAGGGAUAGCCUGCGGGCUAAUCGCGUGUUGGUGGGGUAAUGGCCUACCAAGGCGGAGACGGGUAAGCGGCCCUAGGGGGUGGACCGCCACAUUGGGACUGAGAGACGGCCCCGACUCCUACGGGGGGCAGCAGUGGGGAAAAUUGCACAAUGGGGGCAAGCCUGAUGCAGCGACGCCGCGUGGGGGAUGACGGCCUUCGGGUUGUAAACACCUUUCGCUAGGGACGAAGCGUUUUGUGACGGUACCUAGAGAAGAAGCACCGGCUAACUACGUG
Molecule: ribosomal RNA, 465 nt
Filed under: uncultured bacterium
Lineage: Bacteria
Description: partial 16S ribosomal RNA
Rfam family: Bacterial small subunit ribosomal RNA
Source: RNAcentral